Molecule: ribosomal RNA, 544 nt
Filed under: Trigonopterus dacrycarpi
Lineage: Eukaryota; Metazoa; Arthropoda; Insecta; Coleoptera; Curculionidae
Description: partial 16S ribosomal RNA
Source: RNAcentral
CGACCUGGCUCACACCGGUUUAAACUCAGAUCAUGUAAAAUUUUAAAGGUCGAACAGACCUAAAUCUUUAGCUUYUACACCAAAAAUAAAUUUUAAUCCAACAUCGAGGUCGCAAUCUUUCUUUCCGAUAAGAACUCUCAAAAAAAUUACGCUGUUAUCCCUAAGGUAAUUUUUUCUUGUAAUCUAAAUUCUAGGAUCAAACAUAUACAAAUAAAUAUCACUAUAAAAAAAAAGUUAAAUAAAUUUUUCCAUCACCCCAACAAAAUAAACACUACCAACCCUAGAAAUAAAACCCUAAAAUCUAGAGAUAAGUAUGAAUAUAAAACUCUAUAGGGUCUUCUCGUCUUCUAUGAAAAUUUAAGCUUUUUAACUUAAAAAUAAAAUUUUAAUUAAUUUAUAUAGAGACAGCCAUUUUCUCAUCAAACCCUUCAUACAAGCUUCCAAUUAAAAAACUAGUGACUAUGCUACCUUUGCACGGUCAGUAUACCGCGGCCCUUUAACUCUGCAGUGGGCAGGUCARACUUGAAAUUAUUAUCAACAAGCC